Schistosoma mattheei is the source of this 45-nucleotide non-coding RNA. The record is from Rfam. Lineage: Eukaryota; Metazoa; Platyhelminthes; Trematoda; Strigeidida; Schistosomatidae.
AUCCAGCUGACAAGUCCAAAAUAGAACGAAACGUACGUUUUGUAU